This 176-nucleotide ribosomal RNA is filed under the name uncultured bacterium. RNAcentral's name for it is "partial 16S ribosomal RNA". It matches the Rfam family "Bacterial small subunit ribosomal RNA", at positions 338 to 526 of the family's 1533-position model. The record is from RNAcentral.
CCUACGGGAGGCAGCAGUGGGGAAUAUUGCACAAUGGGCGAAAGCCUGAUGCAGCGACGCCGCGUGAGGGAUGACGGCCUUCGGGUUGUAAACCUCUUUCAGCAGGGAMGAAGCGCRAGUGACGGUACCUGCAGAAGAAGCACCGGCUAACUACGUGCCAGCAGCCGCGGUAAUAA